This 525-nucleotide ribosomal RNA is filed under the name uncultured haloarchaeon. RNAcentral describes it as "bacterial SSU rRNA". It matches the Rfam family "Archaeal small subunit ribosomal RNA", at positions 1 to 526 of the family's 1478-position model. Lineage: Archaea; Methanobacteriati; Methanobacteriota; Halobacteria; Halobacteriales; Halobacteriaceae. The record is from RNAcentral.
AUUCCGGUUGAUCCUGCCGGAGGCCAUUGCUAUCGGAGUCCGAUUUAGCCAUGCUAGUCGUGCGAGUUCAGACUCGCGGCACCGAGCUCAGUAACACGUGGCCAAACUACCCUACAGAGACGGAUACCCUCGGGAAACUGAGGUUAACCCAUCAUACCGAUCUCAGGCUUGAAUCGCAGAGAUCACAAAACGCCCCGGCGCUGUAGGAUGUGGCUGCUGUUGAUUAGGUAGACGGUGGGGUAACGGCCCACCGUGCCCAUAAUCAGUACAGGUUGUGAGAGCAAGAACCUGGAGACGGAAUCUGAGACAAGAUUCCGGGCCCUACGGGGCGCAGCAGGCGCGAAACCUUUACACUGCACGCACGUGCGAUAAGGGGACUCCGAGUGCGAGGGCAUAUCGUCCUCGCUUUCGUGUACCGUAGGGUGGUACACCAACAAGGGCUGGGCAAGACCGGUGCCAGCCGCCGCGGUAAUACCGGCAGCCCGAGUGAUGGCCGAUCUUAUUGGGCCUAAAGCGUCCGUAGCU